UACGUAGGGUGCAAGCGUUAAUCGGAAUUACUGGGCGUAAAGCGUGCGCAGGCGGUUGUGUAAGACAGAUGUGAAAUCCCCGGGCUCAACCUGGGAACUGCAUUUGUGACUGCACAGCUGGAGUGCGGCAGAGGGGGAUGGAAUUCCGCGUGUAGCAGUGAAAUGCGUAGAUAUGCGGAGGAACACCCAUGGCGAAGGCAAUCCCCUGGGCCUGCACUGACGCUCAUGCACGAAAGCGUGGGGAGCAAACAGG
This 253-nucleotide ribosomal RNA is filed under the name uncultured bacterium. RNAcentral's name for it is "partial 16S ribosomal RNA". It matches the Rfam family "Bacterial small subunit ribosomal RNA", at positions 524 to 776 of the family's 1533-position model. The record is from RNAcentral.